ACGGGGUGCAGCAGGCGCGAAACCUCCGCAAUGCACGCAAGUGCGACGGGGGAACCCCAAGUGUCACUCUUAACGGGGUGGCUUUUCAGAAGUGUAAAAAGCUUCUGGAAUAAGGGCUGGGCAAGACCGGUGCCAGCCGCCGCGGUAACACCGGCAGCUCAAGUGGUAGCCGCUUUUAUUGGGCCUAAAGCGUCCGUAGCCGGUCUGAUAAGUCUCUGGUGAAAUCCCACAGCUUAACUGUGGGAAUUGCUGGAGAUACUAUCAUGACUCGAGGUCGGGAGAGGCUGGAGGUACUCCCAGGGUAGGGGUGAAAUCCUGUAAUCCUGGGAGGACCACCUGUGGCGAAGGCGUCCAGCUGGAACGAACCUGACGGUGAGGGACGAAAGCCAGGGGCGCGAACCGGAUUAGAUACCCGGGUAGUCCUGGCCGUAAACGAUGUGGACUUGGUGUUGGGAUGGCUUCGAGCUGCCCCAGUGCCGAAGGGAAGCUGUUAAGUCCACCGCCUGGGAAGUACGGCCGCAAGGCUGAAACUUAAAGGAAUGGCGGGGAG
This 550-nucleotide ribosomal RNA is filed under the name uncultured Methanothermobacter sp. RNAcentral describes it as "bacterial SSU rRNA". It matches the Rfam family "Archaeal small subunit ribosomal RNA", at positions 325 to 874 of the family's 1478-position model. The record is from RNAcentral. Lineage: Archaea; Methanobacteriati; Methanobacteriota; Methanobacteria; Methanobacteriales; Methanobacteriaceae.